This 73-nucleotide transfer RNA is filed under the name Camelus bactrianus (Bactrian camel). It matches the Rfam family "tRNA". From Rfam's summary of the family: Transfer RNA (tRNA) molecules are approximately 80 nucleotides in length. Their secondary structure includes four short double-helical elements and three loops (D, anti-codon, and T loops). Lineage: Eukaryota; Metazoa; Chordata; Mammalia; Artiodactyla; Camelidae. The record is from Rfam by way of RNAcentral. RNAcentral also lists the same sequence under 3 other names.
GAGGGUAUAGCUCAAAUGGUAGAGCACAUGCUUAGCAUGCACGAGGUCCUGGGUUCAAUCCCCAGUACCUCCA